AGGCGGGUGGAUUAGGCUGCAAGUCGAACGGGCUGGCUUCGGCCAGUCAGUGGCGGAAGGGUGAGUAAGGCGACGGUAACCAACCCCAUGGUCGGGUAUAGCCGCGGGAAACUGCGGGUAAUCCCCAGCGACGUGCGGGGCCGGCAUCGGCUCUGCACCAAAGCUCCGGCGCCGUGGGACGGGCCGUCGUGGUAUUAGCUAGUUGGCGGGGUGAUGGCCCACCAAGGCUGUGAUGCCUACCGGGCGUGCGAGCGUGGCCCGGCACACUGGGACUGAGACACUGCCCAGACUCCUACGGGAGGCUGCAGUCGAGAAUCUUCGGCAAUGGGCGCAAGCCUGACCGAGCGACGCCGCGUGGAGGAUGAAGGCCUUCGGGUUGUAAACCGCUGUCAGUGGGGAGGAAGUGCACGGGGGUACUCCCCUGUGUUUGACCGAUCCGCAGAGGAAGCACAGGCUAAGUUCGUGCCAGCAGCCGCGGUAACACGAACUGUGCAAACGUUAUUCGGAAUUACUGGGCUUAAAGAGUUCGUAGGCGGCUUGUUAAGUCGGGUGUGAAAUCCCUCGUCUCAACCGAGGAAUUGCGCUCGAAACUGGCGAGCUUGAGUGAGAUAGAGGUGAGCGGAACUGAUGGUGGAGCGGUGAAAUGCGUUGAUAUCAUCAGGAACACCGGUUGCGAAGGCGGCUCACUGGGUCUUGACUGACGCUGAGGAACGAAAGCUAGGGGAGCGAACGGGAUUAGAUACCCCGGUAGUCCUAGCUGUAAACGAUGAGCACUGGAC
RNAcentral lists this ribosomal RNA (779 nucleotides) under uncultured bacterium. Its description in RNAcentral is "bacterial SSU rRNA". It matches the Rfam family "Bacterial small subunit ribosomal RNA", at positions 37 to 821 of the family's 1533-position model. The record is from RNAcentral.